CAGUAGCCGCGGGAAUACAGAGGGUGCAAGCGUUAAUCGGAAUUACUGGGCGUAAAGCGCGCGUAGGUGGUUUGUUAAGUUGGAUGUGAAAGCCCCGGGCUCAACCUGGGAACUGCAUCCAAAACUGGCAAGCUAGAGUACGGUAGAGGGUGGUGGAAUUUCCUGUGUAGCGGUGAAAUGCGUAGAUAUAGGAAGGAACACCAGUGGCGAAGGCGACCAACUGGACUGAUACUGACACUGAGGUGCGAAAGCGUGGGGAGCAAACAGGAUUAGAUACCCGUGUAGUCCCUGUCUCUUAUAA
This 301-nucleotide ribosomal RNA is filed under the name uncultured bacterium. Its description in RNAcentral is "partial 16S ribosomal RNA". It matches the Rfam family "Bacterial small subunit ribosomal RNA", at positions 509 to 809 of the family's 1533-position model. The record is from RNAcentral.